AUACGGAGGAUCCGAGCGUUAUCCGGAUUUAUUGGGUUUAAAGGGUGCGCAGGCGGCCAUUUAAGUCAGCGGUUAAAUCGUGGGGCUCAACCCCAUUCUGCCGUUGAUACUGGGUGGCUUGAUUGCGGUCGAGGUUGGCGGAAUUCGUUGUGUAGCGGUGAAAUGCAUAGAUAUGACGAAGAACACCGAUUGCGUAGGCAGCUGACCAGACCGCAAAUGACGCUCAUGCACGAAAGUGCGGGGAUCGAACAGGAUUAGAUACCCUGGUAGGCCGCACAGUAAACGAUGAAUACUUGUUUUCGGCGAUAUAAUGUCGGAGGCAAAGCGAAAGCGAUAAGUAUUCCACCUGGGGAGUACGCCGGCAACGGUGAAACUUAAAGGAAUUGGCGGGG
This 392-nucleotide ribosomal RNA is filed under the name uncultured bacterium. RNAcentral describes it as "partial 16S ribosomal RNA". It matches the Rfam family "Bacterial small subunit ribosomal RNA", at positions 523 to 918 of the family's 1533-position model. The record is from RNAcentral.